UACGUAGGGUGCGAGCGUUGCCCGGAUUUAUUGGGCGUAAAGGGCGCGCAGGCGGCCACGCACGUCCGUUGUGAAAUCGCCCGGCUCAACUGGGCGGGGUCAGCGGAUACGGCGUGGCUGGAGCAAGCUAGGGGGCAAUGGAAUUCCCGGUGUAGUGGUGGAAUGCGUAGAGAUCGGGAAGAACAUCGGUGGCGAAGGCGGUCUGCUGGGCCGUUGCUGACGCUGAGGCGCGACAGCGUGGGGAGCAAACAGG
This 253-nucleotide ribosomal RNA is filed under the name uncultured bacterium. RNAcentral describes it as "partial 16S ribosomal RNA". It matches the Rfam family "Bacterial small subunit ribosomal RNA", at positions 524 to 776 of the family's 1533-position model. The record is from RNAcentral.